This is a long non-coding RNA of Drosophila pseudoobscura, 472 nucleotides long. RefSeq lists it as uncharacterized. The transcript is spliced from 3 exons. NCBI's taxonomy places the organism in Eukaryota, Metazoa, Arthropoda, Insecta, Diptera, Drosophilidae. The record is from RefSeq and is a predicted model, not a curated record.
CCAUGUCUCGCCUCUGGCAACUCGUUUCUUUUCCUUUUUUGAAGUCUGGCAUUGUUGUGGCAUUUGCAUUUUUUCAAGCAUUCUUUGGGCGCCGUAAGGACAAAGAACAUCGAUGGUCGUCAUUGCAUAUAUCACAAAUUACAUCCUGGAUCCUGGAUCCUGGAACCUGGAUCCUGGAUUCCGACAGUGGAGGACCGACCGGACAUGAAAGGCUUGAAAGUUGUCUGGGAAUGGGAUCGGGGCAAAAACUGAUUCGGAGUCUCUGGCUAUGAAGUGGACUCGACUGGCAGACGGAAAUUGAAGUGUUUCUAAUGUAUGCGGGGGGUGGAGGGAACGGAGGGAACGGAGGAAAGAGAAAACGGAUGGGCCAAAGGCUUUUCCAUCUGGCCGUGACGCCGACAGCAAAAACUGACAGCAGAACCAGCCCGUCGGCGGCAUCAGCGGCAACGAGUGCGUCUAAUUGAUGGGCAUC